CCAUCUCCCAAGGCUAAAUACUCCCUAGUGACCGAUAGUGCACCAGUACCGUGAGGGAAAGGUGAAAAGCACCCCGGAAGGGGAGUGAAAGAGAACCUGAAACCGUGUGCCUACAAGUAGUCAGAGCCCGUUUAUGGGUGAUGGCGUGCCUUUUGUAGAAUGAACCGGCGAGUGACGAUGACGUGCGAGGUUAAGUCGAAGAGACGGAGCCGCAGCGAAAGCGAGUCUGAAUAGGGCGCUUAGUACGUCGUCGUAGACCCGAAACCAGGUGAUCUACCCAUGCCCAGGGUGAAGGUAGGGUAACGCCUACUGGAGGCCCGAACCCACGCACGUUGAAAAGUGCGGGGAUGAGGUGUGGGUAGGGGUGAAAUGCCAAUCGAACCUGGAGAUAGCUGGUUCUCCCCGAAAUAGCUUUAGGGCUAGCCUCAAGGGAAGAGUCUUGGAGGUAGAGCACUGAUUGAGCUAGGGGCCCUCAUCGGGUUACCGAACUCAGUCAAACUCCGAAUGCCAAUGACUUAUCCUUGGGAGUCAGACUACGAGUGAUAAGAUCCGUAGUCGAGAGGGAAACAGCCCAGACCACCAGCUAAGGUCCCUAAGUGUACGUUAAGUGGAAAAGGAUGUGGAGUUGCUUAGACAACCAGGAUGUUGGCUUAGAAGCAGCCAUCAUUUAAAGAGUGCGUAAUAGCUCACUGGUCGAGUGACUCUGCGCCGAAAAUGUACCGGGGCUAAACGUACCACCGAAGCUGUGGGAUGACCGCUGGUCAUCGGUAGGGGAGCGUUCUAAGCGCGCCGAAGCGAGACCGGAAGGACUCGUGGAGCGCUUAGAAGUGAGAAUGCCGGUGUGAGUAGCGAAAACAGAGGUGAGAAUCCUCUGCACCGAAAGCCUAAGGGUUCCUGAGGAAGGUUCGUCCGCUCAGGGUUAGUCGGGACCUAAGCCGAGGCCGAAAGGCGUAGGUGAUGGGCAACAGGUUGAGAUUCCUGUACCACCUCCUCACCGUUUGAGCAAUGGGGGGACGCAGGAAGGUAGGGCGAGCAGGCUGCUGGAAUAGCCUGUCCAAGCGGUUAGGCUGCCAGAUAGGCAAAUCCGUCUGGCAUAAAGGCUGAGCCGUGAUGGCGAAGGGACCAUUGGUCCCGAAGUCCCCGAUCCUACACUGCCAAGAAAAGCCUCUAGCGAGGUGAGAGGUGCCCGUACCGCAAACCGACACAGGUAGGCGAGGAGAGAAUCCUAAGGUGCGCGGGAGAACUCUCGUUAAGGAACUCGGCAAAAUGACCCCGUAACUUCGGGAGAAGGGGUGCUCUCUUGGGUGAUGAGCCCGAGAGAGCCGCAGUGAAAAGGCCCAAGCGACUGUUUAUCAAAAACACAGGUCUCUGCGAAGCCGAAAGGCGAAGUAUAGGGGCUGACACCUGCCCGGUGCUGGAAGGUUAAGGGGAGCGCUUAAGCCGCAAGGCUGAAGGUGCGAACCGAAGCCCCAGUAAACGGCGGCCGUAACUAUAACGGUCCUAAGGUAGCGAAAUUCCUUGUCGGGUAAGUUCCGACCCGCACGAAAGGUGUAACGACUUGGGCACUGUCUCAACGAGAGACCCGGUGAAAUCAUACUACCUGUGAAGAUGCAGGUUACCCGCGACAGGACGGAAAGACCCCGUGGAGCUUUACUGCAGCCUGAUAUGGAAUUUUGGUAUCGCUUGUACAGGAUAGGUGGGAGCCUGGGAAGCCGGAGCG
RNAcentral lists this ribosomal RNA (1720 nucleotides) under Geobacillus sp. DSP4a. Its description in RNAcentral is "partial 23S ribosomal RNA". It matches the Rfam family "Bacterial large subunit ribosomal RNA", at positions 453 to 2170 of the family's 2925-position model. Lineage: Bacteria; Bacillati; Bacillota; Bacilli; Caryophanales; Anoxybacillaceae. The record is from RNAcentral.